RNAcentral lists this ribosomal RNA (236 nucleotides) under Cynanchum rubricoronae. Its description in RNAcentral is "partial 26S ribosomal RNA". The record is from RNAcentral. Lineage: Eukaryota; Viridiplantae; Streptophyta; Magnoliopsida; Gentianales; Apocynaceae.
AUUGCGUCGUCCCCCCUCACCCAUGUCCCGAAAGGGUGGCGGAAGUUGGCUUCCCGUGCAGCGUUUGCGGCUAGCCUGAAACACGGUUCCCUCGCCGCGGACGUCGCGACAAGUGGUGGUCGUCGAGAUUGUGCGCGAGUCGCCGGCAAGCUGCGUCGAGGAGAGCAUUUGGACCCUGUGCGAGAUGAGUCCUUCACGGAGGGGCAAUUUCCAACGAUUGCGACCCCAGGUCAGGC